Molecule: transfer RNA, 75 nt
Filed under: compost metagenome
Description: tRNA-Met
Rfam family: tRNA
About the family: Transfer RNA (tRNA) molecules are approximately 80 nucleotides in length. Their secondary structure includes four short double-helical elements and three loops (D, anti-codon, and T loops). Further hydrogen bonds mediate the characteristic L-shaped molecular structure. tRNAs have two regions of fundamental functional importance: the anti-codon, which is responsible for specific mRNA codon recognition, and the 3' end, to which the tRNAs corresponding amino acid is attached (by aminoacyl-tRNA synthetases). tRNAs cope with the degeneracy of the genetic code in two manners: having more than one tRNA (with a specific anti-codon) for a particular amino acid; and 'wobble' base-pairing, i.e. permitting non-standard base-pairing at the 3rd anti-codon position.
Source: RNAcentral
GGCGGUGUAGCUCAGCUGGCUAGAGCGUUCGGUUCAUACCCGAAAGGUCGGGGGUUCGAUUCCCUUCGCCGCUAC